Molecule: ribosomal RNA, 246 nt
Filed under: uncultured bacterium
Lineage: Bacteria
Description: partial 16S ribosomal RNA
Rfam family: Bacterial small subunit ribosomal RNA
Source: RNAcentral
CGUACCACGGGACGCAGCAGUAGGGAAUUUUCGUAAAUGGGCGCAAGCCUGAACGAGCAAUGCCGCGUGAACGAGGAAGGUCUUCGGAUCGUAAAGUUCUGUUGAAGGGGAAAAAGAGCGGAGAGAGGAAAUGAACUCCGAUUGAUAUUACCCUUCGAGGAAGUCACGGCUAACUACGUGCCAGCAGCCGCGGUAAUACGUAGGUGGAGAGCGUUAUCCGGAAUGAUUGGGCGUAAAGGGGGCGUA